This is a long non-coding RNA of Passer domesticus (house sparrow), 671 nucleotides long. RefSeq lists it as uncharacterized. The record is from RefSeq and is a predicted model, not a curated record. The transcript has 3 exons. NCBI's taxonomy places the organism in Eukaryota, Metazoa, Chordata, Aves, Passeriformes, Passeridae.
AUACAAUCCCAGAGAGUGACAGAUGGUUUGAAACACCCAGGAAGGAAGGAAGGAAGGAAGGAAGGAAGGAAGGAAGGAAGGAAGGAAGGAAGGAAGGAAGGAAGGAAUGCAGCUCUCCAGGACAUGUGAAAUUGGAUGCUCUUCUCUCCUUCUCCUCUCCCCCGUCUCAGAAUGGUGUUGAAAUGUGACUUGUGCCCAGAGGUGCAAAUAUACACUGAGGGUAUCCAGCUUGAUGUCCUUCAAGGAAACUAUAGCUCUUAGCAAAAAGGGCUUGUGUGAACAGAGGCUGGUGCUGAUAGAAGAGGAGGAAAACUGAGCUAAACUGCACCUUCUGCUGCUGUCAAAGAGUCUAAAACCAAAAGACAACUACCAGGAACAGACUGGCCUCACUGUACUACCACUGAGAUCCUUGGAUGGCCAAAGAAGUGUUCUUAUCAUCAUUAUUGCUUUUCCAUGUUUUCCUUAUGGGGCUGAAGCACACAGCACCUGAAUGCCACCAGCUGCUCUGAGAAAAACCUGGGAGAAAAGGUCGACAGGAAUUUAGAAAAUUUGCCUUUGGUGCUCUGAGAGCCACCCACUACAGCCAGCUCUGUCACACAUCUGUUGAAGCAGCAAAAGGUGGUAUCACCCAUGUCACUUCUGGAAACCUGGAGAGAGAUUUGUAGUAACAA